Arvicola amphibius (Eurasian water vole) is the source of this 480-nucleotide long non-coding RNA. RefSeq lists it as uncharacterized. The record is from RefSeq and is a predicted model, not a curated record. The transcript has 3 exons. NCBI's taxonomy places the organism in Eukaryota, Metazoa, Chordata, Mammalia, Rodentia, Cricetidae.
GUGAGCUUCCUGGCUCCAGCUUGGCAGUGAAGUGGAAGUGGAGCCGGUCUUGUGUGCUGUUCAACUAAAAGUCCUCCAGGAAACCGCGUGGAGCGCUUGUGAAAGCUAGGAAACCGCGACAUGGAUACACUUGGGAAGACCAUAAUAUUGAAAAUCAUUCUCAAUGGUCUAGAAGAUAUGAAAGGCAUGAAGGAAGUCAAACUGGAGGGAAAACUGCCAUAUACCUUCAAAGUAUUAAAGUCAUUGCAUGUGACAGUGAUCUUCAAAGGCAUACAAGAACUAAUCCUAGGGAGAAACCAUAUGAGUAAGCAAUGUGUGAAGCCCAUUGCAUGUCCCAAAAGCCAUGAAAAUCAUAACAGAACAUAUACUGGAGAGAAACACUUUGAAUGUUAUCACUAUGAUAAAGCCUUUGCAUAUCAUAGUCAUCUUAAAAGACAUAAAAGAAUACAUACUGGAGAGAAACCCUAUGUAUGUUCUCAU